This 465-nucleotide ribosomal RNA is filed under the name uncultured bacterium. RNAcentral describes it as "partial 16S ribosomal RNA". It matches the Rfam family "Bacterial small subunit ribosomal RNA", at positions 338 to 795 of the family's 1533-position model. The record is from RNAcentral.
CCUACGGGAGGCAGCAGUAGGGAAUCUUCCACAAUGGGCGCAAGCCUGAUGGAGCAACACCGCGUGAGUGAAGAAGGGUUUCGGCUCGUAAAGCUCUGUUGUUGGAGAAGAACGUGCGUGAGAGUAACUGUUCACGCAGUGACGGUAUCCAACCAGAAAGUCACGGCUAACUACGUGCCAGCAGCCGCGGUAAUACGUAGGUGGCAAGCGUUAUCCGGAUUUAUUGGGCGUAAAGCGAGCGCAGGCGGUUGCUUAGGUCUGAUGUGAAAGCCUUCGGCUUAACCGAAGAAGUGCAUCGGAAACCGGGCAACUUGAGUGCAGAAGAGGAAAGUGGAACUCCAUGUGUAGCGGUGGAAUGCGUAGAGAUAUGGAAGAACACCAGUGGCGAAGGCGGCUGUCUGGUCUGCAACUGACGCUGAGGCUCGAAAGCAUGGGUAGCGAACAGGAUUAGAUACCCCUGUAGUC